AGAGCCAUGAUUUAUUACAGAAAAAGGGUGAUAAAUCCAAAUCUGAUUAUGUUACAUCACACGAUCAUUGUCUUUGUACAUAUUCUGGUAUGCUUUUCCAUAGGGAUGAAGUGAUAACAGUGUGCAGUAUUGACAUACCUCAUGUUAGAAAAACAGAUGACAUCGUAUAGAUAGUAAAUCUAUGGUCUUACUGUGCUUCCUCAUCAAACACCUUUAGGGGCCGUUUCAGGGUUUAAGACUAAAACAGAUUAAGACUAAUCCUAAUCCAUAGGUUUAUGGAGAUUCUCCAUUGAUCUUGGUAUUCAGUCCAGGACUAGUCUUAAUCUGUGUCCUGGAAACCGUCCCCUGAAGGUGCAAAAAUAUUUUUUUUAUGUGCUUUCCAUGUGCCCCACCAGAUUAUUUGAUCUUUGUAUUUAUAUAUUUUUAUUUAUAAUCUUUUAACCAGGUGAGUUCUAAAAUAAUAUCAACAAAAACAAUAUUUCCAUCCCAGAUUCCAUUGGACAGUUUUUGGGCGUUAUUUAAUCCGCAUCGUGGAAAUUCAUCUCAAAUUCAGCUUUACAGCGACACCUCCAAAACAUCGGCUAUGCGGGUGUUGGCUAUCGGCCGUUAACUCCUGGUCUGAUUGGAUCCUGGCCUGAAGUCUGAUUGGAUCCUGGCCUGAAGCCUGAUUGGAUCCUGGCCUGAAGUCUGAUUGGAUCCUGGCCUGAAGUCUGAUUGGAUCCUGGUCUGAAGCUUCAACCAAGGAAGGUUUCGUUGUGUCCGUCCCAGAAACACUAAUAAACAUUAUGACGACAUAUGAAAACACAAUGCAAACAAAAUGCUCUUCUUCACAAAAUGUCUCGGGAAGAAACAUCAGCCUUGUACAUCAAUCGGGGUAUUAAACAAUCAAUCAACAAUCCAUUAUAUUGACUGACAAACAUCAUGUACGAUCAAUCAUGAUGAAAUAAGAAACUAUUUUUUUUGUAGGACAGAAUAGUGACAUGUUUUUCCAAAACCCUAAUCAUUGACUUAUAGACUUGUAAGCUCUAUUUAAUGCAGACUCAACACUAAAAAACACUAAUAAUUACUAUCUCCUUUGGACACUGUUCAAGAUGGAUGCUGUAGUCAUGGUUACGACAUGCAUAGAUUUCAAAUGACCAACCACAUCGAAGGGAAGGUGUUUUUCAGUCCAAUCACAUCAAAGGGAAAAUGUUUGACCAUUCCUCAGCCAAUCAGUGCCAAAACAAAACAAUCCUCAAAAUAUGUAAAUGUAUGAUGAGACUGUGUCUUGUACUUACAGAGUCUUCAGAAAGUAAUGACAAAGUGAAAACAUGUUUUCUCGACAUUUUCACAAAUGUAUUGAAAAUGAAAUACAGAAAUAUCUAAUUUACAUAUGUAUUCACACCCCCCGAGUCAAUACAUGUUAGAAUCACCUUUGCCAGAGAUUACAGCUGCGAGUCUUUCUGGUUAAGUCUCUACGAGAUUUGCACAGCUGGAUAGUACAAUUUUUGCACUUUUUAUUUAUUUUUAAAUGCUUAAAUUAUUUGAGCUCUUUCAAGUUGGUUGUUAAUCAUUGCUAUACAGCCAUUUUCAAGUGUUGCCAUAGAUAUUAAGGCAGAUUUAAGUCAAAAUUAUAACUGGGCCACUCAGGAACAUUCAAUGUUGUCUUGGUAAGCAACUCCAGUGUAUAUUUGGCCUUGUGUUUUAGGUUAUUGUCCUGCUGAAAAGUGCAUUUCUCUCCACUGUCUGUUGGAAAGCAGACUGAACCAGGUUUUCCUCUAGGAUUUUGUCUGUGCUUAGCUCUAUUCUGCCUCUUUUAUUCUGUACAGGCUUCCUUCUUUUCACUCAGUCCUUUAGGUCAGUAUUUUGGAGUUAACUACAAUGUUGUUGAUCCAUCUUCAGUUUUCUCUUAUCCACAUCCUUUAAACUCUGUAACUGUUUACAGUCACCAUUGGCCUCAUGGUGAAAUCGCUGAGCAGUUUUCCUUCCUCUCCAGGUAACUGAAGGAAGCGUGGAUAUUUGUAGUGACUGGGUGUAUUGAUACACCAUCCGAAGUGCAAUGAAUAACUUCACCCUGCUCAAAGGGAUAUUCAAUGUCUGCUUUUAUACUUUUACCCAGAUACUUUUUUAUUUUAUUUUUAUUUAUCCGUUAUUUUACCAGGUAAGUUGACUGAGAACACGUUCUCAUUUGCAGCAACGACCUGGGGAAUAGUUACAGGAGAGAGGAGGGGGAUGAAUGAGCCAAUUGUAAACUGGGGAUUAUUAGGUGACCGUGAUGGUAUGAGGGCCAGAUUGGGAAUUUAGCCAGGACACCAGGGUUAACACCCCUGCUCUUAUGAUAAGUGCCAUGGGAUCUUUAAUGACCUCAGAGAGUCAGGACACCCGUUUAACGUCCCAUCCGAAAGACGGCACCCUACACAGGGCAGUGUCCCCAAUCGCUGCCCUGGGGCAUUGGGAUAUUUUAUUUUUUAGACCAGAGGAAAGAGUGCCUCCUACCGGCCCUCCAACACCACUUCCAGCAGCAUCUGGUCUCCCAUCCAGGAACUGACCAAGACCAACCCUGCUUAGCUUCAGAAGCAAGCCAGCAGUGGUAUGCAGGGUGGUAUUUUUGUGAGGAAUUGGAAAACCUCCCUGGUCUUUGUGGUUGAAUUGAUGUUUGAAAUUCUCUGCUGGACUGAGGGAAAUUAGAGAUAAUUUUAUGUGUGGGGUACAGAGAUGAGGUAGUCGUUUAAAAAUCAUGUUAAACACUAUUAUUGCACACAGUGAGUCCAUGCAACUUAGGUGACUUGUUAAGCAAAUGUUUACUCAUCAACUUAUUUAGGUUUGCCAUUACAAAGGGGUUGAAUAGUUAUUGACUCAAGACAUUUCAGCUUUUCAUUUUUAAUUUAAGUUGUAAAAAAAAAAAUCUAAAAACAUAAUUCCACUUAGAAUAUUAUGGGGGUAUUGAGUGUAGAUCAGUGACACAACAUCUACAUUUGAUCCAUGUUUAGUUCAUGCUGUAACACAACAGAAUGUGGGAAAAAGUCAAUUGCUUUCAGAAUGCUUUCAGAAGGCACUGUAUCAAUUCAUAUUGAGCAAAUAAUGUUUGUAACUGAUAUGUUGGACAGUUUAUUCUGACAAUAGCAACAGUGAUAUGUAUUAAAAAUAUAUUUUAAAAAAUAUUCUUGACUAUACGUGGAUGUACUGACUGAUUGGGGUUAUUUUCAGAUGAUUAUAAUAAUAUCAACUCUGAUUCUCUAUAUGUGUUCAUUUGAUACAAUAAAUUAACAGCUUUUUUAAAACUUUAAUUUACUUUAAUUUAUAAGCAACUGACUUAUAAAUGUUGGUGCAUCAUAGUCAUGCAAAUACAGGAGUGCAAAAUAUCUAUAUUUUUAAAUAGCAGAUGAAUGUCUUAUUGAUAGCAGCUAAGAAAAUAUGAUACUUAGUUAUAUCACCUGCCAAACAUUCAGAGGACAGCUGAGGAAAAGUGGAUUUUUUUCUCCUCUUUAACAUUCAUAGAUAUAUGAUUUCUAGAUUUCGGGGGAAAAAAAGCCCAUUAGAACAAGGGAGAAUGAACAGGAAUACUGUUCUUGUAAUUAUGUUUCUAUGGUUACAUUGCCGCGAUUGCAGGGUACAGAGAGGUGAACGUCAUGCUGGUCGAUUGCAUUCAGAAUCGCAAAAAAAAAUAUUAUACACAAUCAUAGAUAAUAAUAAUAAUACGUUUGAAAAUAAUAUACAUUGCAAAGUAAACUGGAAAAAAAUAACACAUUUAUAGAAAGUAAACAGUAUAUACAAUACAUAGAAAAGUACAUUGGGAAAUGAUAACAGUUUAACAUUAAAGUAAUUUACAAUAAAUUCAAAUUUAAAUAAUUAACAAUAAAAGUUAGUUAAAUAAUUUACGAUAAAGUACAAUUUAAUUAAUAAAAGUAACAUUUUAAUCAUUUACAAUAAAAAUGAAAAGUUAAUUAAUUUACAAUAAAAGUAACAGAGACUCUAAGUUCUCUAAGUUCAACUUUUGUUCAUAAUGGAAUAGGGCUAGGUCACCUCUAAACAGAGUUAUAUUGUUGUUUAUAAUGAAACAGGGCUAGGUCACCUCUAAACAGAGGUUGUUUAUAAUGGAAUAGGGCUAGGUCAUCUCUAGACAGAGGUUGUUUAUAAUGGAAUAGGGCUAGGUCAUCUCUAGACAGAGGUUGUUCAUAAUGGAAUAGGGCUAGGUCACCUCUAGACAGAGGUUGUUUAUAAUGGAAUAGGGCUAGGUCAUCUCUAGACAGAGGUUGUUCAUAAUGGAAUAGGGCUAGGUCACCUCUAGACAGAGGUUGUUUAUAAUGGAAUAGGGCUAGGUCAUCUCUAGACAGAGGUUGUUCAUAAUGAUAUAGGGCUAGGUCAUCUCUAAACAGAGGUUGUUCAUAAUGGAAUAGGGCUAGGUCAUCUCUAGACAGAGGUUGUUCAUAAUGGAAUAGGGCUAGGUCACCUCUAAACAGAGGUUGUUCAUAAUGGAAUAGGGCUAGGUCACCUCUAGACAGAGGUUGUUUAUAAUGGAAUAGGGCUAGGUCACCUCUAGACAGAGGUUGUUUAUAAUGGAAUAGGGCUAGGUCAUCUCUAGACAGAGGUUGUUUAUAAUGGAAUAGGGCUAGGUCACCUCUAGACAGAGGUUGUUUAUAAUGGAAUAGGGCUAGGUCAUCUCUAGACAGAGGUUGUUCAUAAUGGAAUAGGGCUAGGUCAUCUCUAGACAGA
Long non-coding RNA from Oncorhynchus keta (chum salmon), 4692 nucleotides. RefSeq lists it as uncharacterized. The transcript has 3 exons. The record is from RefSeq and is a predicted model, not a curated record. NCBI's taxonomy places the organism in Eukaryota, Metazoa, Chordata, Actinopteri, Salmoniformes, Salmonidae.